Molecule: long non-coding RNA, 244 nt
Filed under: Brassica napus (rape)
Lineage: Eukaryota; Viridiplantae; Streptophyta; Magnoliopsida; Brassicales; Brassicaceae
Description: long non-coding RNA (BNAP_LNC005131)
Source: RNAcentral
AUUUUUAUAGUUCGGAUUUGGUUAUUUCGGAUCGGGUUCGAAUAUUUAGAUUUUAAAAGAAAAAAAAUUAAAAUUUUCAUUUCCCAAAUUUUUUGUAUUUAAAAAUCUUUCACUUAACUAAUUUUUAUUUUUUAAUAGAUUGAAUGGUUAAUAGAUUUAGACACAACAUUUUGAAACUAAAAAGACAUUAAUUUGGUUAUUGUUUUUACAUUUUAGAUGUAACUUUUUGUUAAUUCUUGAAAUA